UACGAAGGGGGCUAGCGUUGUUCGGAAUCACUGGGCGUAAAGGGCGCGUAGGCGGCUUUAUAAGUCGGGGGUGAAAGCCUGUGGCUCAACCACAGAAUUGCCUUCGAUACUGUAGAGCUUGAGACCGGAAGAGGUAAGUGGAACUGCGAGUGUAGAGGUGAAAUUCGUAGAUAUUCGCAAGAACACCAGUGGCGAAGGCGGCUUACUGGUCCGGUACUGACGCUGAGGUACGAAAGCGUGGGGAGCAAACAGG
Molecule: ribosomal RNA, 253 nt
Filed under: uncultured bacterium
Lineage: Bacteria
Description: partial 16S ribosomal RNA
Rfam family: Bacterial small subunit ribosomal RNA
Source: RNAcentral